RNAcentral lists this ribosomal RNA (434 nucleotides) under uncultured Lachnospiraceae bacterium. Its description in RNAcentral is "bacterial SSU rRNA". It matches the Rfam family "Bacterial small subunit ribosomal RNA", at positions 341 to 792 of the family's 1533-position model. Lineage: Bacteria; Bacillati; Bacillota; Clostridia; Lachnospirales; Lachnospiraceae. The record is from RNAcentral.
ACGGAAGGCAGCAGUGGGGAAUAUUGCACAAUGGGGGAAACCCUGAUGCAGCGACGCCGCGUGAGUGAAGAAGUAUUUCGGUAUGUAAAGCUCUAUCAGCAGGGAAGAAAAUGACGGUACCUGACUAAGAAGCCCCGGCUAACUACGUGCCAGCAGCCGCGGUAAUACGUAGGGGGCAAGCGUUAUCCGGAUUUACUGGGUGUAAAGGGAGCGUAGACGGUUCUGCAAGUCUGAUGUGAAAGGCAGGGGCUCAACUCCUGGACUGCAUUGGAAACUGUAGAACUAGAGUGCCGGAGAGGUAAGCGGAAUUCCUAGUGUAGCGGUGAAAUGCGUAGAUAUUAGGAGGAACACCAGUGGCGAAGGCGGCUUACUGGAUGGUAACUGACGUUGAGGCUCGAAAGCGUGGGGAGCAAACAGGAUUAGAUACCCUGGUA